ACACAUGCAAGUCGAACGGGCUCUUCGGAGCUAGUGGCGGACGGGUGAGUAACGCGUGAGAAUCUGCCUUCAGGAGGGGGAUAACGACUGGAAACGGUCGCUAAUACCCCAUAUGCCUCUGGGUGAAAAGUAAUUCGCCUGAAGAUGAGCUCGCGUCAGAUUAGCUAGUUGGUGGGGUAAGAGCCUACCAAGGCGACGAUCUGUAGCUGGUCUGAGAGGAUGAUCAGCCACACUGGGACUGAGACACGGCCCAGACUCCUACGGGAGGCAGCGGUGGGGAAUUUUCCGCAAUGGGCGCAAGCCUGACGGAGCAAGACCGCGUGGGGGAUGACGGCCUAAUGGUUGUAAACCCCUUUUCUCUGGGAAGAAGACUGACGGUACCAGAGGAAUCAGCCUCGGCUAACUCCGUGCCAGCAGCCGCGGUAAUACGGAGGAGGCAAGCGUUAUCCGGAAUUAUUGGGCGUAAAGCGUCCGUAGGUGGUUAUUCAAGUCUGCUGUCAAAGCGUGGGGCUCAACUCCAUAGAGGCAGUGGAAACUGAGUGACUAGAGUGCGGUAGGGGUCGAGGGAAUUCCCAGUGUAGCGGUGAAAUGCGUAGAUAUUGGGAAGAACACCAGUGGCGAAAGCGCUCGACUGGGCCUGCACUGACACUGAGGGACGAAAGCUAGGGGAGCGAAAGGGAUUAGAUACCCCUGUAGUCCUAGCCGUAAACGAUGGAUACUAGGUGUUGCUCGUCAUCGACCCGAGCAGUGCCGUAGCCAACGCGUUAAGUAUCCCGGCUGGGGAGUACGCUCGCAAG
Molecule: ribosomal RNA, 797 nt
Filed under: uncultured organism
Description: bacterial SSU rRNA
Rfam family: Bacterial small subunit ribosomal RNA
Source: RNAcentral